RNAcentral lists this unclassified non-coding RNA (340 nucleotides) under soil metagenome. Its description in RNAcentral is "partial contains 5.8S ribosomal RNA, internal transcribed spacer 2, and large subunit ribosomal RNA". The stretch from base 1 to 120 matches the Rfam family "5.8S ribosomal RNA", at positions 35 to 154 of the family's 154-position model. The record is from RNAcentral.
GAUGAAGAACGCAUUGAAAUGCGAUAAGUAAUGUGAAUUGCAGAGUUCAGUGAAUCAUCGAAUCUUUGAACGCACAUUGCGCCCGUCAGUAUUCUGACGGGCAUGCCUGUCCGAGCGUCAUUUCAACCCUCAAGCACUGCUUGGCGUUGGCGGAUUGCGUGCCCUCGCGGCGCUGCAACCGCCCAAAUACAGUGGCGGUCCCGCUGCGGCUCCCUUUGCGUAGUAACUCACCUCGCACUGGACCGGGCGGCGGCCUGCCGUAAAACCCCAACUCACGAAAUGUUGACCUCGGAUCAGGUAGGAAUACCCGCUGAACUUAAGCAUAUCAAUAAGCGGAGGA